Long non-coding RNA from Balaenoptera acutorostrata (minke whale), 804 nucleotides. RefSeq lists it as uncharacterized. Lineage: Eukaryota; Metazoa; Chordata; Mammalia; Artiodactyla; Balaenopteridae. The record is from RefSeq and is a predicted model, not a curated record. The transcript has 3 exons.
GUCUCUGCCGCACGGACCGUCGGGUGAGGUCGCGCGGUCGCCUUCCCUUCGUAUGGUUGCCAAAGCUGUGUUUUUCUGAAGUCUGAGACUGGACAAGGAACCUUCCACUGCAUGAAUACCAAGAAAGGGACAAACUGCACCCAUCCCAAAGGGGUUGAGUUGGCCACCCAAGAUUCCCAGAGAAAGCAGGGGAGAGAGAUGGGGAUCAAAAAUGCCUGUUGGGCCAAGAGGAUGACGAAUGGAGGGACCCUCCAUGGUCCUUUGGAUUAAUUUAAAGCCACUACGGGAAGAGGGAUGAAGAUCAGAAGCUGAUGGAGCUUCCCACGAGAAAUUUUAUUGGACCCAGAUGGAGAUUCCCAAGCCAGGUGACAAGACAAGGCUCUGCGGGGACAGGAGGAGGCCUUCCACCUUCCCUGACCUUCCCCAGCUUCCUUCUGGUGCCUGCAGUAUGGGAAAUCUUGCUGGCACCCAGGGACAGAUAAUGGUGUUCUUCUGACGAGCAGUAUCCUCUUCAGGCUGGGUUGUACAGCAGGAGGCAGAAGCACUACUGAAGAAAGAUGGGGGACUGCUGUUAACAGGCUGGUUCUCAGACCCCUAUGAGGCUGCCUUUUGGGUCCCCCAGGAAUAGCUAGGGGACAUUAUGACAAGCGACAAAAGAGAGGUCAAGAGAGAAAUCACACCUGAUUAUUGGGUCUAUGGAGGAGGCAUUAAUUAACUGGAUCUUGAAGGAUUUCUCAAUAGGCUGUCUCGUUUGAGAAGUAACAUCUGUCAUGUAAAGAGAAGUGCAUCCAUGUAUAUGAUUUU